CCUACGUGCGGCAGCAGUGAGGAAUAUUGGUCAAUGGGCGGAAGCCUGAACCAGCCAAGUCGCGUGAGGGAAGACGGUCCUAUGGAUUGUAAACCUCUUUUGUCGGGGAGCAAAAGACGCCACGCGUGGCGUUCCGAGAGUACCCGAAGAAAAAGCAUCGGCUAACUCCGUGCCAGCAGCCGCGGUAAUACGGAGGAUGCGAGCGUUAUCCGGAUUUAUUGGGUUUAAAGGGUGCGCAGGCGGAAGAUCAAGUCAGCGGUAAAAUUGAGAGGCUCAACCUCUUCGAGCCGUUGAAACUGGUUUUCUUGAGUGAGUGAGAAGUAUGCGGAAUGCGUGGUGUAGCGGUGAAAUGCAUAGAUAUCACGCAGAACUCCGAUUGCGAAGGCAGCAUACCGGCGCUCAACUGACGCUCAUGCACGAAAGUGUGGGUAUCGAACAGGAUUAGAUACCCGGGUAGUC
This 459-nucleotide ribosomal RNA is filed under the name uncultured bacterium. Its description in RNAcentral is "partial 16S ribosomal RNA". It matches the Rfam family "Bacterial small subunit ribosomal RNA", at positions 338 to 795 of the family's 1533-position model. The record is from RNAcentral.